GUGGGGAAUAUUGCGCAAUGGGGGAAACCCUGACGCAGCGACGCCGUGUGAGGGAAGAAGGCUUUCGGGUCGUAAACCUCUGUCAGAAAGGAAGAACCUCCCAUAUCCGAAUAGGGUGUGGGACUGACGGUACUUUCAAAGGAAGCACCGGCUAACUCCGUGCCAGCAGCCGCGGUAAUACGGAGGGUGCUAGCGUUAAUCGGAAUCACUGGGCGUAAAGCGCGCGUAGGCCGCUUCUUAAGUCGGACGUGAAAGCCCUCGGCUCAACCGGGGAACUGCGUUCGAUACUGCGAGGCUUGAGUCCUGGAGAGGGUGGCGGAAUUCCGGGUGUAGGAGUGAAAUCCGUAGAUAUCCGGAGGAACACCGGUGGCGAAGGCGGCCACCUGGACAGGUACUGACGCUGAGGCGCGAAAGCGUGGGGAGCAAACAGGAUUAGAUACCCCUGUAGUCC
RNAcentral lists this ribosomal RNA (451 nucleotides) under uncultured bacterium. RNAcentral describes it as "partial 16S ribosomal RNA". It matches the Rfam family "Bacterial small subunit ribosomal RNA", at positions 354 to 796 of the family's 1533-position model. The record is from RNAcentral.